Molecule: ribosomal RNA, 253 nt
Filed under: uncultured bacterium
Lineage: Bacteria
Description: partial 16S ribosomal RNA
Rfam family: Bacterial small subunit ribosomal RNA
Source: RNAcentral
CACGGAGGGUGCAAGCGUUAUUCGGAAUCACUGGGCGUAAAGCGCGCGUAGGCGGUCUCUUAAGUCAGAUGUGAAAGCCCGGGGCUCAACCCCGGAAGUGCAUUUGAAACUAAGGGACUUGAGUAUGGGAGAGGGAAGUGGAAUUCCCGGUGUAGCGGUGAAAUGCGUAGAUAUCAGGAGGAACACCGGUGGCGAUGGCGACUUCCUGGACCAAUACUGACGCUGAGGCGAGAAGGCGUGGGGAGCAAACAGG